RNAcentral lists this long non-coding RNA (795 nucleotides) under Equus caballus (horse). Its description in RNAcentral is "lncRNA (ENSECAG00000058417.1)". The record is from RNAcentral. Lineage: Eukaryota; Metazoa; Chordata; Mammalia; Perissodactyla; Equidae.
CGGCUGCCUCCAGUGUCACAGUCACUGAAGGGUGGCCCCAGCUAUCUCCUGCCUCUCCGGGACAUGUUCCAAGCAUAAUAACUGUCAAAGCUUGAAAAACAGCAGCAGAGGAAAGAAAAGACCAGAGCCAAAGGGCCUUCUGAAUCAAGCAAAGAAAGAAACACUCCCCGGAAAGAAGACCGCAGUGCCAGCAGCGGAGCUGAGGGCGACGUGUCCUCCGAGCGGGAGCCCUAGGCCUGGGGGCGGACCUCAGUGCAUUUUCAUUGGGCAGAACUGGAUCCUGAAAAAUUCAUGAAAGAUGCUAAGCACCUACUCGGCUUUAAGAAUUUGGAACUGAAUCGUGAAAAGGAAGACAGAAAUAAAAGAUCGAAUAGCCCUGCAAAAAAACACCAAAGGAACGUUACCAUUUUCUGUUGUUGCUGUGGUCUAAUGGGGAGGGGGUGCUGUCAGUGUAGGGGAGCGCCCCGUGCACAUGGCAGCAGGGCAUACACCCAUGCCUCCCCCACGGGAAGGCUUUGUUGGUUCCUAUGAUGUCUUGGCUUGCUUUUGGGACGGGCUGGCCCAACAUCAUUUGUUAUCAAGUCCUUUCGCACUGUGGUGUAUUUCUGCGUGUCCAUGAUGGGUCUCAAACACAUUCAUGCUGUCCAUGUUUUUCCCAGCGCUGGCCAAUCCAGGGUCCGUGUUAAGGUGUAAAGAGAACAAUCAUCAAUGAUAAUGUAUUGUGUGAGACCUUUGCAUCUUGUAAAUUUUCUCUUUUUUCUAAAAAGAAAUAAAACUCCAAAUCUCAACAAGCCA